CGCCGGCCUUGUCCUCAGUGUGGCCGGAAGACGACUCGGGGCUGCUGCUGCUCUCGGGGCGCCGCCGCCGCUCUUUCUCCUCUGCUGCCGCCGCCGUCUCCCGGCAGCCGCCGCCGCCGCCGCUGUCCGAACUUGAAGUUGCCGGCGCGCCCGUUGCAGCCGCCGCCGCCGCCGCGGAGGUCGCCGUGGCCGCCGGGGGCCCCUUCUCGGCGCUCUUGUCCCCGGGGUAGUCGGAGGAGGCGAGGUUUUCCGGGGUGCCGUAGGCUGUCUCGAAAAACUGGUCGAAAGCCUGUGGCAGGACGCCGUUCCUGCCCACGGUGCUAUAGAAAUUGGACGAGACUGCGGGGGUGGGGUGGUGGUAGACGUUGGCCGAGCUCUUGGCCAGCACGUCGCCAGGCACGCCGGCCGCGCUGGGCGCCUGCAGGCAGUCUCUGUGCACGAGCUCCUCCGCGGAGUAGCAGUGGGCCAGAUUGCCGCGGGGGUGCCAUUUAGUGGCGGGCUCAAUGGCGUACUCUCUGAAGGUCACUUCGCGCACGGGUUGGACCUGGGGCAGGUUGGAGGAGUAGGAGUAUGUCAUUGGGCGCGAAGACGGGGUCUGGGGCAGAAAAGAAGGGAGGCUGGAGAAAUCUGGACCCGAGACGUAGUAAGUACAACUUGGCAAAUACAUGUUAGAGGAGCAGGGACCACGCUCAUCAAAAUCCAUUAUUGGGCUACCUUGGGCUCUCCGCAGUAGCCGAGCUUAACAUGAUUCUCCACUGCAGCUGCCUCUUUGAAGCGGAUCCGUGAAGUAGAAAUUUGGAGACCCACCUCAGGGGAAGCAACAGAUCGUCACUCGGUGUUCUCACCGAAAGCACGUAAUCGCCGGUGUAACUCAUGUUGGCUGGGGGGCCUCCCGGCGCGCGCGGAGAGGCUGGGGUGCGCCCCCAUGCAGCAUGCUUGUGCUCAAUUGCAGGGUCCUCGUUCUCGAGUGUGCAGAGGGCGGUGAGAGCUCAACUCUCGUCCCCACCUCCCACCCGCAGCUCCCCGGACUUGCUCUGGGAAGCGCCUCUGCCUCCGACCCUAGCCGGAACCCCUUCGGGGCCAGAGUUUGAAGCCGUGGAUGUGCCUGCCUGGUGGCUUGUCCGAUUUGCACGGUGACUUGAUUACACUCUCUCAUUCAUGGUCACUUCCGAAGCGCUUUAGUGCCUUCCGUCCCUAAACCGCCAACAGCCAGAACGGCUUCUCCCCGCGUGACUCGGCAGAGACAGAGGCACAGGGGCUGCCCUGCUGCUCACCGGUCCACCCAUCUGCCUGGUCUUCUGGAGCUGAGGACUCGGGAAACCAUGCAAUUGAGGCAAGCCUUGGGCUGCUUUAGAGGCGCUGACAUCCGAGGAGACUUCUCCUGGGAGGUCCAACAGCCGAGCUUAGCCCACCGGGCUCUGGGAAAGACCCGACUGAGGCUAAAGCCGCCCCGGAAGGCCAAGUCCGAGUUCCAUUUCUUGAAGAGGCCGGCGCGCGUAAGGCUGUGACAUUGGCCCUGGCGACUGGCUUCCCAGGAGCUGUUCUUUCUCAGGAGCUCCACAGCGCGGGCCAUCUCCAGAAAACUGUCUUCAGAGUGUAUUUCCUUUUAUCGUCAACCCAGAGCCCCACCGCGGCUAAUGCAAGAGGCCAAAAAAUGUUUGGAGGAAGAAAAACAAAGGCAGGAAGUGGCGGCGGCCUGACGGUGCGUGUGUGUCUGCAGAGAAGGGAGGGAGCCGGCUCAGUCUCUUCUUGUUUUUCCAAACUUCAAGGUCCAGGCAGCCCUCUGCAGGGCCGGGCCCCAUUGCUCCCCGCGCGGCAUUGGAGGUGGCCGCCCGGAGAGGAGAAGGCCAACGCCUGCGCCAGGCUUGUCAGGCGGAAACGGCUAACAAGGAGAUUUGGUCAGCAAAACAGACCCAGCCUUUCCGAGGCUUCGUCUGACUUGGCCCGAAAGGUUGGGGAGGGGGGGCUUGCGCAGAGCCUCAGGGACCCUCCUCUCUGGGGACUACCAUCCCUGAGCCUUACGCUUCUUUCCACAGCCUUUGCAGGCGGAAUAUCGGAAUAAAGUGGGUCCAGGCGCCUCUGCCGCCUCCGCUUCUUCUUGCAGCCUGAAUGGUCCGGGAGGCAGCGGGAGGGCGCCGGCGGGCAGUGCCCAGGCGGGGUCGCCUCGAGGCCGUCGGUGAGCACCGGGCAAUGCGAGGCCUUGUUACCGAGGUUGUUGUGCUGGGGGCGUUUCCAGCACAGUCAUUCAAGGGACGUGAGCUGCAAGGAUCGUCACUUGACAGGCGGCUUAACACCCUCUCACUCCAAGGGAGGAUACAGCUGGGUGGCCGGGAGCACCUCCACACUCCAGGCUUCCCAGCUCCAACUGGCAAAGCUGCUGGGCCACCCUCUUCUCUCCCUGGGGCUGGCUUGGGAGGCAGCAGCUGCUCCUUGUCCCAGAAAUCUGAGAAUUCGAAGUCCCCAGUACUUGCACAUGCAGCCCUUUAAAUGCCCAGCAUUUGUCCACAGUCUCAAUGUCAAUGCCAAGCUGCCCCAGUCACCACUGUCCUUCUCAAGGGGGUCCUGUCCCUCUACAGUUCCUGAUCCUGCUCCUGUCCCCCCUACAGUUCCUGUCUCCUGCCCUGCCUCCUUCCAGCCAUUCUCACCUGCUGGGACCUCCUGUCUCUUCCCUACCUCUUUUGAUGCCUCUGCUAGACUGAGCAACAGCUGAGGUGCCACUGGAGGGCAUCCAAUACUCAGGCGCAGAGAAGAGGGGCUGUUAGGUCCCUGACUCUCCCCCAACUUCGGGCUUCCACCAGAGCCUGAACUGAGUCUCCCACCUCCUUCUUAGGAAUACUCCACCUCAAGGCCCCACCAAGUCUGGCUUAUCUCCCUUCCUCUCCCCUCCCUUCUCUACCCUCCUUUCUUCCCCAACACUUCCUCCUUCUCUUCUGCGGACCCAGCUGCUGCUUUUCUAGGCUGGGCAACCCAGAUGGGAUAGGCCUGGGAGGGGUCAGGACCCACUUGACAGACUGAAUCUCACUCCCAGAUGGCUACAGUUAAGUUUCUCUCUUGGUGGAUUGCUUAGGGCACCAUCAUUAUUUUGCCUCCUCCUGCUUGCCUAAUCCCUUACUUUCCUCUGUCCACAAAUGUCACACUGUUUCUAGAAAGCUACACAGAAGAGUAUUUCAACCCUGGUGACCAUACUGCACACAGGUGCAAGAACUGGCCCGGAGGCCCCGGGUAGAAAUGGCAACAGAGCUCUUCUCCAUUACAGGAAUAUCUCCUUCCAAAUCAAAGGGUUCCUGUGGGCACAUCUGUCUUAUGUGGUGAGCUAGGGGAGAUGGGUUGUCUGGGAAGGCCCAGGAGAUCUCCACGUAUUUGUUCUCAGGGCAUGGCUUAUUGCCAGAUCAUAGACAAUCCAUCACAUUUUCCAGGCGCUGCCCAGAGGCAGCACUGAAGCUUCAAUUAAAAAAUCAAGAGAUCACCUCUAUCACUACCAGGUGGAGGCAGGGGUUAAUUUGUCCCUUUGUUGAGACACCUCACCCUCCCCGAAGGUCCCCAACACUUCCUAAAAGCUCAGAAACAGGUAAUGCCCUGAAGUGGACCUCAUAAUUCUGCUUGGUCUGACUGGCAGUUUCAGUCAUCCUUCAAAGCCCCUAAAUAUCUGAAAAGGCCCAUACCCUUCCCCUGGCCACUGCAGAGUGGGGCACAGGGCUCAGCUGAGGGUCUCAAGUACCUAAGCAAUCUAGUUAUCAUUUACUUUAGUGGAUCCCAAACUGAAGGGAGAAGAGAAGAUUACUUCCUUUAAUAACUAUUUUUAUUUUUAUUGUUGCCAAUUAUUAGACUUCUUUUUCCUAUAGCAUGGGAACAAAUGGGGUGGGGGAGACUUUGAAGGGCGAAGCCCUAGUUCUCAGUGUCUGCCUUCCAUUCCCCAUGCAGCUUUGGCCCAAACAGGUUUCCCAGCAGAGUGUGUCUGAGAUAAAGAAGACAAAAGGGGGUGGCCCAACCCGAAGGUUGGCUCUGGUCCUUGGGUCUCGGUCUCUACAGCCGUAGCUCACAGGAAGCCCCCACGCCACAAAGCUCCAACUGCUUCCUAGGGCAGCUCCAUUUCCACUCAGUGCUCAUGUUGGCUCACAUUCCAGGCUUGAGAAGAGCCAUCACCCCAUCCAGCCCUCCUCCCCUACACACCCUUCCAGGCAGUUCUGCGAUGGGACCCAUUCACAGAUCAUUGUUUCUGCUAUAUAUGCCCCCACAGCCCAGCCCAGCCCAUCCACGCAGCCCUAGGGGUACAAUCCAGAUUUUUGGCUUCCGCGAAAAGAAAUCCUUUGCAUGUCCUCUUUGGUUCACCUGGAGAGAUAGGCUCAGCGGCAGAUCACGCUUAAGCUAACGUUUACCGCAGGGCCUGAUGCUCUGAUCUGCUGGAGGCAGGCUAUAGGCAGGGGGUAAGGGGCUCUCUCCCUCGCAGAGCGCAGUGAAGGAUUCUUGGGGGCUGGGAGUCAGGAGUUUUUACCUUGGAAGAGUGCGCCUCACAUCUGUGUGGAUUUUAGGCAGGAGAAGAGCAUCAAGGGUCUCACCAAAGGCUUGCCACUCACUGAGGGAGAGGCCUGGAUUCUGGGACCCCAGGAGAGUCUCUCCAGCAGGGUCUUGGCUCCCCUAUCCUCUUCCCUGCCAAGUCGGCCCUAUGUUCCUACCAGGACCCAGAACUCCGAUCCAGCCACGUCCUUUCCCCUGGGCUUGCAGGCGCUCCCUCUCGCCCCCGCUAGGCCUUAGCGGGCUCCGAAGUCUGCUGGACUGGGGCAAACCCCGCUCUUCUGGGACGGGGACACGGCCUGGGCCACCCGUGGCUGCCGGGACUCCUUUCCAACAGGGCUGGGGAUGGGAGAGUUGGAAAUCAAGAAAGAACCUCUGCCUCCAGUGCACGAGCCCAGAGCCCAGGCUACCAGAACCCGCUUGCAGCAAGGUAACUGUGCGUCCUGUGCCUUCUUGAGGCGGCGGCAGCGAUCGGCCCUGACCAUAGAGGCGGCCGUGGCGCGGAGGACUUGACCUUUACGGCACGAGAGGAGGGCGCUGGCUGAGCCGCAGGGAGGGGGACGCUGCUCUCUCCAGCCUCCUCCACCCAAUAGCAGUCCGCUCGACCCACGCCAGCUGCGCGCUCACCCCCUUUCCCCCUCCAUUUUGUGCAGUGUCCGCAGACCCGCGGCCGGAAACAAAGCCCCCAGCCCUGCUCUCACCACCCUUCUUGCAAGCUGCUGUCGCCAACCCCCCAGACCAGAGGCUCAGAGCUAACGCUAAGCCCCUUAAGGCCCUCUCCAGGGCCCUCUUCUCUCGCCAGCCGCCCUCAGCCAGCUCCUGACCCCAGCCGCCCUCAGCCAGCUCCUGGGUACCACUCUGGGUGCCAACCGGGACCUGCCGGUGCCACGGUCCCGUGCGCCGGGUCCCGGCCUCGGGCUGCGGGCGGCUUCGG
This 5446-nucleotide long non-coding RNA is filed under the name Homo sapiens (human). RNAcentral describes it as "PREDICTED lncRNA (TCONS_00236046)". The stretch from base 1601 to 1779 matches the Rfam family "HOXA11 antisense RNA 1 conserved region 6". The record is from RNAcentral. Lineage: Eukaryota; Metazoa; Chordata; Mammalia; Primates; Hominidae.